This 460-nucleotide ribosomal RNA is filed under the name uncultured bacterium. Its description in RNAcentral is "partial 16S ribosomal RNA". It matches the Rfam family "Bacterial small subunit ribosomal RNA", at positions 338 to 795 of the family's 1533-position model. The record is from RNAcentral.
CCUACGGGAGGCAGCAGUGAGGAAUAUUGGUCAAUGGACGGAAGUCUGAACCAGCCAUGCCGCGUGCAGGAAGACGGCUCUAUGAGUUGUAAACUGCUUUUGUACAAGGGUAAACCUGAAUACGUGUAUUCAGCUGAGAGUACUGUACGAAUAAGGAUCGGCUAACUCCGUGCCAGCAGCCGCGGUAAUACGGAGGAGCCAAGCGUUAUCCGGAUUUAUUUGGUUUAAAGGGUGCGUAGGCGGAUUGUUAAGUUAGAGGUGAAAUGUCCGAGCUUAACUCGGGAACUGCCUUUAAUACUGUUGGUCUAGAGAGUAGAUGCGGUAGGCGGAAUGUAUGGUGUAGCGGUGAAAUGCUUAGAGAUCAUACAGAACACCGAUUGCGAAGGUAGCUUACCAAUCUAUAUCUGACGUUGAGGCACGAAAGCGUGGGGAGCAAACAGGAUUAGAUACCCCAGUAGUC